UGGUGGAGUGAUUUGUCUGCUUAAUUGCGAUAACGAACGAGACCAUAACCUGCUAAAUAGCCCGUAUUGCUUUGGCAGUACGCUGGCUUCUUAGAGGGACUAUCCGCUCAAGCGGAUGGAAGUUUGAGGCAAUAACA
This 137-nucleotide ribosomal RNA is filed under the name uncultured eukaryote. RNAcentral's name for it is "partial 18S ribosomal RNA". It matches the Rfam family "Eukaryotic small subunit ribosomal RNA", at positions 1299 to 1458 of the family's 1831-position model. The record is from RNAcentral.